CCUCGGGAGGCAGCAGUGGGGAAUACUGGGCAAUGGACGCAAGUCUGACCCAGCAACGCCGCGUGAAGGAAGAAGGCUUUCGGGUUGUAAACUUCUUUUAAGGGGGAAGAGCAGAAGACGGUACCCCUUGAAUAAGCCACGGCUAACUACGUGCCAGCAGCCGCGGUAAUACGUAGGUGGCAAGCGUUGUCCGGAUUUACUGGGUGUAAAGGGCGUGCAGCCGGAGAGACAAGUCAGAUGUGAAAUCCGCAGGCUCAACCUGCGAACUGCAUUUGAAACUGUUUCCCUUGAGUAUCGGAGAGGUCAUCGGAAUUCCUAGUGUAGCGGUGAAAUGCAUAGAUAUCACGCAGAACCCCGAUUGCGAAGGCAGCAUGCCGGCUUCCGACUGACGCUGAAGCACGAAAGCGUGGGGAUCGAACAGGAUUAGAUACCCGGGUAGUC
Molecule: ribosomal RNA, 441 nt
Filed under: uncultured bacterium
Lineage: Bacteria
Description: partial 16S ribosomal RNA
Rfam family: Bacterial small subunit ribosomal RNA
Source: RNAcentral